CUCUCUCUCUAACAAACAAAAGGUCUUAGAUAUCUGUAUCUUUAGCCUCAUUUGCAUCAUUCCAUAGAAAACUUAAAUGAACUAGGUCUUCUGAAGCUUUCUC
Long non-coding RNA from Myotis brandtii (Brandt's bat), 103 nucleotides. RefSeq lists it as uncharacterized. The transcript is spliced from 3 exons. The record is from RefSeq and is a predicted model, not a curated record. NCBI's taxonomy places the organism in Eukaryota, Metazoa, Chordata, Mammalia, Chiroptera, Vespertilionidae.